Molecule: ribosomal RNA, 1661 nt
Filed under: Escherichia coli
Lineage: Bacteria; Pseudomonadati; Pseudomonadota; Gammaproteobacteria; Enterobacterales; Enterobacteriaceae
Description: partial 23S ribosomal RNA
Rfam family: Bacterial large subunit ribosomal RNA
Source: RNAcentral
CGAAUGCUGACAUAAGUAACGAUAAAGCGGGUGAAAAGCCCGCUCGCCGGAAGACCAAGGGUUCCUGUCCAACGUUAAUCGGGGCAGGGUGAGUCGACCCCUAAGGCGAGGCCGAAAGGCGUAGUCGAUGGGAAACAGGUUAAUAUUCCUGUACUUGGUGUUACUGCGAAGGGGGGACGGAGAAGGCUAUGUUGGCCGGGCGACGGUUGUCCCGGUUUAAGCGUGUAGGCUGGUUUUCCAGGCAAAUCCGGAAAAUCAAGGCUGAGGCGUGAUGACGAGGCACUACGGUGCUGAAGCAACAAAUGCCCUGCUUCCAGGAAAAGCCUCUAAGCAUCAGGUAACAUCAAAUCGUACCCCAAACCGACACAGGUGGUCAGGUAGAGAAUACCAAGGCGCUUGAGAGAACUCGGGUGAAGGAACUAGGCAAAAUGGUGCCGUAACUUCGGGAGAAGGCACGCUGAUAUGUAGGUGAAGCGACUUGCUCGUGGAGCUGAAAUCAGUCGAAGAUACCAGCUGGCUGCAACUGUUUAUUAAAAACACAGCACUGUGCAAACACGAAAGUGGACGUAUACGGUGUGACGCCUGCCCGGUGCCGGAAGGUUAAUUGAUGGGGUUAGCGGUAACGCGAAGCUCUUGAUCGAAGCCCCGGUAAACGGCGGCCGUAACUAUAACGGUCCUAAGGUAGCGAAAUUCCUUGUCGGGUAAGUUCCGACCUGCACGAAUGGCGUAAUGAUGGCCAGGCUGUCUCCACCCGAGACUCAGUGAAAUUGAACUCGCUGUGAAGAUGCAGUGUACCCGCGGCAAGACGGAAAGACCCCGUGAACCUUUACUAUAGCUUGACACUGAACAUUGAGCCUUGAUGUGUAGGAUAGGUGGGAGGCUUAGAAGUGUGGACGCCAGUCUGCAUGGAGCCGACCUUGAAAUACCACCCUUUAAUGUUUGAUGUUCUAACGUUGACCCGUAAUCCGGGUUGCGGACAGUGUCUGGUGGGUAGUUUGACUGGGGCGGUCUCCUCCUAAAGAGUAACGGAGGAGCACGAAGGUUGGCUAAUCCUGGUCGGACAUCAGGAGGUUAGUGCAAUGGCAUAAGCCAGCUUGACUGCGAGCGUGACGGCGCGAGCAGGUGCGAAAGCAGGUCAUAGUGAUCCGGUGGUUCUGAAUGGAAGGGCCAUCGCUCAACGGAUAAAAGGUACUCCGGGGAUAACAGGCUGAUACCGCCCAAGAGUUCAUAUCGACGGCGGUGUUUGGCACCUCGAUGUCGGCUCAUCACAUCCUGGGGCUGAAGUAGGUCCCAAGGGUAUGGCUGUUCGCCAUUUAAAGUGGUACGCGAGCUGGGUUUAGAACGUCGUGAGACAGUUCGGUCCCUAUCUGCCGUGGGCGCUGGAGAACUGAGGGGGGCUGCUCCUAGUACGAGAGGACCGGAGUGGACGCAUCACUGGUGUUCGGGUUGUCAUGCCAAUGGCACUGCCCGGUAGCUAAAUGCGGAAGAGAUAAGUGCUGAAAGCAUCUAAGCACGAAACUUGCCCCGAGAUGAGUUCUCCCUGACUCCUUGAGAGUCCUGAAGGAACGUUGAAGACGACGACGUUGAUAGGCCGGGUGUGUAAGCGCAGCGAUGCGUUGAGCUAACCGGUACUAAUGAACCGUGAGGCUUAACCUUACAAC